RNAcentral lists this unclassified non-coding RNA (21 nucleotides) under Chlamydomonas reinhardtii. Its description in RNAcentral is "small RNA Cre_0242". Lineage: Eukaryota; Viridiplantae; Chlorophyta; Chlorophyceae; Chlamydomonadales; Chlamydomonadaceae. The record is from RNAcentral.
ACCCAAGAGGGCCCCGGCAGC